Molecule: transfer RNA, 66 nt
Filed under: Ombrastacoides huonensis
Lineage: Eukaryota; Metazoa; Arthropoda; Malacostraca; Decapoda; Parastacidae
Description: tRNA-Glu
Source: RNAcentral
UUUUUUAUAGUGUAAAUUCAACACAUUACAUUUUCAUUGUAAAACUGAAGAUUUCUUCUAGAAAUU